This is a long non-coding RNA of Limulus polyphemus (Atlantic horseshoe crab), 246 nucleotides long. RefSeq lists it as uncharacterized. The record is from RefSeq and is a predicted model, not a curated record. NCBI's taxonomy places the organism in Eukaryota, Metazoa, Arthropoda, Merostomata, Xiphosura, Limulidae. The transcript has 3 exons.
UAAAAGACUACCAAUAUUGUUCUUUCUUGUGUGUGUUUAGAGAGAAGAGGUAUGUUGUAUUGUAUAAAGCAAUGAGCAACCUUUUUGAAGUUGGCUUGUGGCAAUUUAGUCAUUGAAACCAUAGUGGGAUAUGAAGUAGUUGACAGAUGAACCAUCUUCUCACCAAAAAUGACCAGUAGUUGUAGCUGAAGUCCCCAAUACUUAAAGGACCAGUGAGUUGGUACAUGUGUUGGAAGACUACGUGUG